CCUCGGUCCCUGCUGCCCCCUGGUGGCCUGAGCUGGGCCCCAGAGGGUGGGGAGCUGGGGCGCCAGGGCACUGCGCGCCUCCUGGCUACACGCUCGCCCCGGGGGCGUGGGCGGUGCGGAGCCUGAGCCUCGGUGGGGGACGGCGACCUCCUCGGCUGCGUCCACUUCCCACCCUGAGGGCAGGUCCGUAAGGGCCGGACCAGAACAAGAGCGGACAUUCAGGGCAGGGAGGGCCUGCCCGCUCCGCGCACCCCGGAAUUCACCUCCGGAGGGCCUGCAGCACCGGCACUGGGCCACGCUGCGCUGUUCAGAGUCGGCCGUGCGCGGGGACAGUGUAGUUGAAAACAGACAUUCUUCUGACAGCGGUUGGCGGGAUCCAAGGAUGCGGAUAGCAGGUCGGAGGGCGGGCCGCGCACGCCCUGCCCGGGCCCGCGGAGGGGGAUCCGGAUGGCGACCCUGGCUCCAGCGAUCAGGCCGCCAUCCUCUGGGUGGUUCCUGACCCGGCCCCAGCCCCAGCCUCAUUCUCACCGGGCCUCUUCCUGGGCCGGCCACAGCGCGCUCUCGCUCUGACCCGAACUGGACGGGAUUGAACCCUGGGCUGUGGCACUGGGCAACACCCCCAGCCCUCUUCAUUUUUCAUUUCAAGACAGGUCUCACGAAGUCACUGGGUUGCCCAGGCAGGGCAAGAACUUGUGCUCCUCCUGCCUCAGCCUCCCAGAGAGCUGAGGUAACAGUGCACCCCACGCCCCGCAGAAGUCCCUGUUUAAGCCACCAGGUUUGGGGACGCGCUCAGCCACCAUGGAACUUGAGUACCCCACUCAGCCUCCACCUCUUCAUCUGGGCAGUCCCAGCCCUUCCCAGCCCCUUGGGGACAGCAUCGAGGGCAGUGUCCCGGGGGGGGGGGGCUGGCCUUCCGUGUGCCCUGCUGCAGAGCCCACACUGAGCCUCUCGGGGCCUGAGCCUCCCUUGGCUCUGGAGAGCAGGUGGGAGCCAUGGUGGUGGUCUCGCCUCCGGGACACCAAGUGUGGAGCCGAAUAGAGCCCAGGGCCUCUGCACUGAGCAUAUCCCCAGCCCGCACACACAGCGAGCAGUAAACACCUGUGCCUGAACAAAUGACUGAGCAAAUGAAUGGCGUCUUCAUGUAGCAACCCAUCACGGCCUCGAGCUGAACCCCGCUGCCGUGGGCCGCGCCUCAGUGUCCACAUCUCCCCAAGACCUGUGACACAGCCAGGCACCCGGUGCUGUCCCACGGAUGUGUGUAAUCACACACGACACUGUGUGAGGUAUGGGGACCCUUGGCUUACGAACUCAAUCUGUUCCGAGGGCUAGUUGUAACUCAGGUUGAUCGGGUGAGGCUCAGGCUCCUACACGGACCUCAAAGUCUCUCUCCUAUACACAGGCAGAUCUCAGUGUCCUUGGAGACACUGGCCCAGGAUUUCUCAAUGAACCCCACACAGGAGAAGAUGCUGUCAUGUUCCUUCCAGAGCUCUUUAGGGUUAAAUCUGUUUCUGAGACCAUCUGGAAACACAAGCAGCCGGCAUUCGGGUCAUAACUCAAGACUUUGGUCACAAGUUAAAAACUAAAAUUCUGAUCGUAACCCAAGUUUGUCUGUCAGGCGGGUCCUAACUGGAAGGUCCCCUGCACUCAGCCCUCUACUUCUCAUCUCUUAGGGUUUCUCCUGCUUAGAAGGUGGGCUUCAUGCAGGCAGAGCUCUGUGUGCCACGUCAAUACUGGCUGCCGGGCCCAGCAGAGUCUGAUAAGCAGUAGGCAUUCAGUGGUGACCGGGCGGGGAGUGGAGCCGCGAGGCGCACCAGAGCCCCAAAUCGGGUUCCUCCGGAGCCCUCUGCUGUCCGUGCCCUGGGACCGUCCUCUCUGCUCUUCUGCGGGCCACAGCAGCCUCCUUCUCCUCGAGGCCGCCUGCCUGACCCCAGGGUGGCUGCAGGUGCCACGUGGGCGGGCGUCAAAGGCAGCCCGCUUCCUUGCUCAGAGCUCGCCCUCCUGGCCGCCGCUUGGGGAGGCUGUCACGGGCUGGUUUCCUCCCUGUUCCGUAGCCCCUCCUACUUACGGGAAGGGUUCUGGCUUUCCAUGUGUGUUGGGACAGUGUUUCUUGAAAAUAAAG
Molecule: long non-coding RNA, 2119 nt
Filed under: Heterocephalus glaber (naked mole-rat)
Lineage: Eukaryota; Metazoa; Chordata; Mammalia; Rodentia; Bathyergidae
Description: lncRNA (ENSHGLG00000034543.1)
Source: RNAcentral